GAAACGAGUCUUGUAAGGAAGUUUUGCUGCCGAAGGAAGUAGAUACAUCUACUAUGCGUUUGCGUUGGUACUUGGGUGUGUUAAGGGAUUGUUUAUGCCUGGUGUUUGGUCAAGAUGUUUGGAUUAUGAAGGAACAUGGAAAUAAUGACUCGUGGGCUAAGUUGUAUAGUGUUUCUUUCAUGCGAGAUUUUCCUUCAUCUUUUGCCACUAUUGAAGUACUACAUAUUUUUAAGGAUGGCAGUUUGUUGUUGGAUUGUAUUUAUGAAGGGGAAAGGACACGGAAGUUGGUUUUUCACAAUUCUAGAAAUGGCACUUUUAAGUUUAGUGAGUCGAAAAUCAUGCGUGACGUAUGCGUUGAGAGUUUGAUAUCACCUUGUUCUUAAUGCUAGAAUGCAGAUGUGGGGCUAUAUCACUUGAGAGUGAGACUAAACUAAAACCUUUAUGUCAAUUUCUAUUUAGGAUAUUUAUUUUGUACUUGUUCUGAUGAUUGGUUACUUCAUGGAUUAUUGUUAAGGUUCAUUUGAAUAUGCAGUAGUUAUUUUUAUUUAUUUUUGUUAGAAGGUUUUGUUCUCUCAUGCCUUUCAUUUUAUAUAGUUCAAAAUCGUGCAUUGAUUUACUUGGUUUGAGGUUAGAUUUUCUAAUUAUCAACUUAGAUGUUAUCCCAAAAUCAUGUUUUUUAACAUGCCCUGGUCAUUGUGAAAAUGACAUGUCAUGCCUUUUACUAUUUGGUUCUUCUCAACAUGACUUAUCCCCAUACCAUUUUUUCUUACUUUUUCUGGUAUCCUUAAUGGAAGGGAAAACUUCUGCUAAGUAAUGUGGAGAUCAAGUUCAAGUCCACAUUCUGUCCAAAAUAUGAACAUUGAAUUAAAAUGAAAGAGAAGGAUGAGGAAUUAGUUCAUGACUUUGACUUCAAAGCCAUUUUUGGGAUGUACUUGAUGUGUGUCCUCGUAUUAAUAACAUAACAUGAUGCUGUUUAGUCUGAAUAUGUAGGUUGCAACUGAAAUUGUUUCACUAAUAGAAAAAUAUGUAGCAACUUUAAGCUAUUCUAGUUUUUUCUAAUAGACAUUGUCAUUUUUUUUAACUAGAAUAUUCUAGAAAUAUGUAUCAAUUUCAAAGGUUAUUGUUUCAAAGUGUAUUGUUGCAUUGCUUCCAAAUACUCUGCAUAAACACUGAAUGUUGCAUUGCUUCCAAAUACUCUGCAAAAUACAAGCAAACAGCGCCGCUUCAUCCCCUGAGAGCUGCUGUGGUACCUUGAAAAUAACAUCUGCUGCAGAAUUUGAAUCAUCACUAUCUUCUUACCUUAACUC
RNAcentral lists this long non-coding RNA (1307 nucleotides) under Medicago truncatula (barrel medic). RNAcentral describes it as "long non-coding RNA (MTRU_LNC000153)". The record is from RNAcentral. Lineage: Eukaryota; Viridiplantae; Streptophyta; Magnoliopsida; Fabales; Fabaceae.